UACGGAGGGUGCGAGCGUUAUCCGGAUUUAUUGGGUUUAAAGGGUGCGCAGGCGGCCUGGCAAGUCAGCUGUGAAAGUUUACGGCUCAACCGUGGAACUGCAGUUGUUACUGCUGGGCUUGAGUAUGCAUGAGGUGGGCGGAAUUUGUGGUGUAGCGGUGAAAUGCUUAGAUAUCACGAAGAACUCCGAUUGCGAAGGCAGCCCACUGGGGCAUAACUGACGCUGAUGCACGAAGGUGUGGGUAUCAAACAGG
This 253-nucleotide ribosomal RNA is filed under the name uncultured bacterium. RNAcentral's name for it is "partial 16S ribosomal RNA". It matches the Rfam family "Bacterial small subunit ribosomal RNA", at positions 524 to 776 of the family's 1533-position model. The record is from RNAcentral.